RNAcentral lists this ribosomal RNA (253 nucleotides) under uncultured bacterium. Its description in RNAcentral is "partial 16S ribosomal RNA". It matches the Rfam family "Bacterial small subunit ribosomal RNA", at positions 524 to 776 of the family's 1533-position model. The record is from RNAcentral.
UACGGGGGGGGCAAGCGUUGUUCGGAAUUACUGGGCGUAAAGGGCUCGUAGGUGGCCAACUAAGUCAGACGUGAAAUCCCUCGGCUUAACCGGGGAACUGCGUCUGAUACUGGAUGGCUUGAGUGUGGGAGAGGGAUGCGGAAUUCCAGGUGUAGCGGUGAAAUGCGUAGAUAUGCGGAGGAACACCGAUGGCGAAGGCAAUCCCCUGGGCCUGCACUGACGCUCAUGCACGAAAGCGUGGGGAGCAAACAGG